AAUCAACGCUGGCGGCGUGCCUCAGACAUGCAAGUCGAACGAUUAAAGCUCUCUUCGGAGAGUGUAUAGAGUGGCGCACGGGUGAGUAACACGUAAGUAAUCUACCCUCGAGUGGGGAAUAACAACCGGAAACGGUUGCUAAUACCGCAUAAUGCAGCGGCACCGCAAGGUGACAGUUGUUAAAGAUUUAUCGCUUGAGGAGGAGCUUGCGGCAGAUUAGCUAGUUGGUAGGGUAACGGCUUACCAAGGCUACGAUCUGUAACCGGUCUAAGAGGACGGUCGGUCACACUGACACUGAAUAACGGGUCAGACUCCUACGGGAGGCAGCAGUCGGGAAUUUUGGGCAAUGGGCGAAAAGCCUGACC
RNAcentral lists this ribosomal RNA (365 nucleotides) under uncultured bacterium. Its description in RNAcentral is "bacterial SSU rRNA". It matches the Rfam family "Bacterial small subunit ribosomal RNA", at positions 32 to 388 of the family's 1533-position model. The record is from RNAcentral.